This 373-nucleotide ribosomal RNA is filed under the name uncultured organism. RNAcentral's name for it is "partial 16S ribosomal RNA". It matches the Rfam family "Bacterial small subunit ribosomal RNA", at positions 527 to 896 of the family's 1533-position model. The record is from RNAcentral.
GUAGGUGGCAAGCGUUGUCCGGAAUUAUUGGGCGUAAAGCGCGCGCAGGUGGUUCUUUAAGUCUGAUGUGAAAGCCCCCGGCUCAACCGGGGAGGGUCAUUGGAAACUGGGGAACUUGAGUGCAGGAGAGGAAAGUGGAAUUCCACGUGUAGCGGUGAAAUGCGUAGAUAUGUGGAGGAACACCAGUGGCGAAGGCGACUUUCUGGCCUGUAACUGACACUGAGGCGCGAAAGCGUGGGGAGCAAACAGGAUCAGAUACCCUGGUAGUCCACGCCGUAAACGAUGAGUGCUAAGUGUUGGGGGGGUUUCCCGCCCCUCAGUGCUGCAGCUAACGCAUUAAGCACUCCGCCUGGGGAGUACGGUCGCAAGACUG